Molecule: ribosomal RNA, 497 nt
Filed under: uncultured bacterium
Lineage: Bacteria
Description: partial 16S ribosomal RNA
Rfam family: Bacterial small subunit ribosomal RNA
Source: RNAcentral
GAUGAACGCUGGCGGCGUGCCUAAUACAUGCAAGUCGAGCGAACAGAUAAGGAGCUUGCUCCUUUGACGUUAGCGGCGGACGGGUGAGUAACACGUGGAUAACCUACCUAUAAGACUGGGAUAACUUCGGGAAACCGGAGCUAAUACCGGAUAACAUAUUGAACCGCAUGGUUCAAUAGUGAAAGGCGGCUUUGCUGUCACUUAUAGAUGGAUCCGCGCCGUAUUAGCUAGUUGGUAAGGUAACGGCUUACCAAGGCAACGAUACGUAGCCGACCUGAGAGGGUGAUCGGCCACACUGGAACUGAGACACGGUCCAGACUCCUACGGGAGGCAGCAGUAGGGAAUCUUCCGCAAUGGGCGAAAGCCUGACGGGGCAACGCCGCGUGAGUGAUGAAGGUCUUCGGAUCGCAAAACUCUGUUAUCAGGGAAGAACAAAUGUGUAAGUAACUGUGCACAUCUUGACGGUACCUGAUCAGAAAGCCACGGCUAACUACGUG